AUUGAACGCUGGCGGCAGGCCUAACACAUGCAAGUCGAGCGGGCGGCGGACGGGCGAGUAAUGUAUGGGCAUCUGCCUGAUGGCGGGGGAUAAGUACUGGAAACGGUAGCUACUACCGCAUACCAUCAGAUGAACCGACAUGGGAUUAGCUAGUAGGUAGGGUAACGGCUUACCAAGGCGACGAUCCCUAGCUGGUCUGAGAGGAUGAUCAGCCACACUGGGACUGAGACACGGCCCAGACUCCUACGGGAGGCAGCAGUGGGGAAUAUUGCACAAUGGGCGCAAGCCUGAUGCAGCCAUGCCGCGUGGGUGAAGAAGGUCUUCGGAUUGUAAAGUACUUUAAGUCGGGAGGCGUUACCGACAGAAGAAGCACCGGCUAACUCCGUGCCAGCAGCCGCGGUAAUUC
RNAcentral lists this ribosomal RNA (406 nucleotides) under uncultured bacterium. RNAcentral's name for it is "partial 16S ribosomal RNA". It matches the Rfam family "Bacterial small subunit ribosomal RNA", at positions 30 to 526 of the family's 1533-position model. The record is from RNAcentral.